AUGUGUGGUCCGGGCAGUGUGUGGUCUGUGCAGUGUGUGUGGUCCGGGCAGUGUGUGGUCUGUGCAGUGUGUGUGGUCCGGGCAGUGUGUGUGGUCCGGUCAGUGUGUGUGGUCCGGGCAGUGUGUGUGGUCUGGGCAGUGUGUGGUCUGUGCAGUGUGUGGUCUGGGCAGUGUGUGGUCCGGGCAGUGUGUGGUCCGGGCAGGGUGUGUGAUCCGUGCAGUGUGUGUGGUCCGGGCAGUGUGUGGUCUGUGCAGUGUGUGUGCUCCGGGCAGUAUGUGUGGUCCGGGCAGUGUGUGGUCUGUGCAGUGUGUGUGGUCCGGGCAGUGUGUGGUCUGUGCAGUGUGUGUGGUCUGGGCAGUGUGUGCGGUCCGGGCAGUGUGUGGGGUCCGGGCAGUGUGUGCGGUCCGGGCAGUGUGUGCGGUCCGGGCAGUGUGUGGUCUGGGCAGUGUGUGGUCCGGGCAGUGUGUGUGGUCCGGGCAGUGUGUGGUCCGGGCAGUGUGUGGUCCGGGCAGUGUGUGGUCUGGGCAGUGUGUGGUCCGGACAGUGUGUGGUCUGGGCAGUGUGUGGUCCAGGCAGUGUGUGUGAUCCGUGCAGUGUGUGUGGUCCGGGCAGUGUGUGUGAUCCGUGCAGUGUGUGUGGUCCGGGCAGUGUGUGGUCUGGGCAGUGUGUGGUCUGUGCAGUGUGUGGUCCGGGCAGUGUGUGGUCCGGGCAGGGUGUGUGAUCCGUGCAGUGUGUGUGGUCCUGGCAGUAUGUGUGGUCCGGGCAGUGUGUGGUCUGUGCAGUGUGUGUGGUCUGGGCAGUGUGUGGUCUGUGCAGUGUGUGUGGUCUGUGCAGUGUGUGUGGUCCGGGCAGUGUGUGGUCUGGGCAGUGUGUGGUCUGUGCAGUGUGUGUGGUCCGGGCAGUGUGUGGCCCGGGCAGUGUGUGGUCCGGGCAGUGUGUGUGAUCCGUGCAGUGUGUGUGGUCUGUGCAGUGUGUGUGUGUCCGGGCAGUGUGUGUGGUCCGGGCAGGGUAUGUGCUCCGGGCAGUGUGUGGUCCGGGCAGUGUGUGGUCUGGGCAGUGUGUGUGAUCCGGGCAGUGUGUGUGGUCCGGGCAGUGUGUGUGGUCUGUGCAGUGUGUGUGGUCCGGCAGUGUGUGUGAUCCGGGCAGUGUGUGUGGUCCGGGCAGUGUGUGUGGUCUGUGCAGUGUGUGUGGUCUGGGCAGUGUGUGGUCCGGGCAGUGUGUGGUCUGGGCAGUGUGUGUGGUCUGGGCAGUGUGUUGUCCUGGCAGUGUGUGUGAUAUGUGCAGUGUGUGGUCCGGGCAGGGUGUGUGUCCGGGCAGUGUGUGUGGUCCGGCAGGGUAUGUGCUCCGGGCAGUGUGUGGUCCGGGCAGUGUGUGGUCUGGGCAGUGUGUGUGAUCCGGCAGUGUGUGUGGUCUGGGUAGUGUGUGUGAUUCGUGCACUGUGUGUGGUCCGGGCAGUGUGUGUGGUCCGGGCAGCGUGUGGUCCGGGCAGUGUGUGUGAUCUGUGCAGUGUGUGGUCCGGGCAGUGUGUGUGGUCCGGGCAGUGUGUGCGGUCCGGACAGUGUGUGUGGUCCGGGCAGUGUGUGGUCUGGGCAGUGUGUGGUCCGGGCAGUGUGUGUGGUCCGGGCAGUGUGUGUGGUCCGGGCAGUGUGUGGUCCGGGCAGUGUGUGUGGUCCGGGCAGUGUGUGUGGUCCGGGCAGUGUGUGGUCCGGCAGUGUGUCGUCUGUGCAGGUUGUGUGGUCCGGGCAGUGUGUGUGAUCCGGGCAGUUUGUGUGAUCUGUGCAGUUUGUGGUCCGGGCAGUGUGUGUGGUCUCUGCAGUGUGUGUGGUCCGGGCAGUGUGUAG
RNAcentral lists this long non-coding RNA (1842 nucleotides) under Sus scrofa (pig). RNAcentral's name for it is "lncRNA (ENSSSCG00070009667.1)". The record is from RNAcentral. Lineage: Eukaryota; Metazoa; Chordata; Mammalia; Artiodactyla; Suidae.